AUCUUCUGCAUUGUUGUCUCUUAACCACUAAGACGAGUAUGGUCUUUUGUUGUACCAAACAAACCUCAUUCUGAGAAUCUACCACGGUUUCAGCCACCUACCGGGGUGGCCAGCGGCCUGAUCGUCAUGAGCGAGUUGAAACGCCAGAUUCUUCAGGGACGCCGGAAGGCAGAGGAGAGGCUUGGGGAGUGGCGCACGCACCAGCACUCGACUUGACACGGAAGAGGAUCCCCUGGCGACGAAUGUACUUGGGGUCACCAGCGGGAACAUCCUGAGGGAUACAGGAGAGGUCAGGGUCCGCUGUUGGGCCUUGAGCAGACGAUGGAUGUUAAGGAGCUGUGAGAGUGCGUAAGCAGCGAUGGAGGUUGCAUCAUCGGGGGAGUUGAGAGACAUAGUCGUUGGUUCGACCGACUGCUGAAAGCACUGAACGUGCCUUCACUACGUGCAGCACUAUCUCGUUUGCCAAGCUUCAAAACAAGACUACACGGUCCAACCACCACCACCUCCUGCCUCGUCCAAGGUCCUCAAACCUCACCAGCGAAUUGAAGUUGAUUGGGCUGGACCUUUCAUCUUCCUCAAGUCCAAAUGGUACGUUUGUGUAUUUGUUGAUAUGUUCUCUGGGUUUACAGCUUUUUACCCUACAAGAACCUCUUCUGCCAUUGAUUUUCGGUUGGCUUUCUACAACUGGAUCUCCUCCAAUGGUGUUCCCGAGUCCAUCCUCUCCGACAAUGCUAGUGUCCUUUGAGAUGUAGCUAGAAGUAUGGGUCAAGGGUUGAGAAUUGUUGGCCUUACAGGUUCCGACCAACUGGUUGAGAUUCUGUCGGCAUACGCAACAACAAGAGCUGGCAAGGAUGUGGUGUAGUCGAUAGACAUCUCAUUGACACCUGCCCAACCUGUCCGUGUUUAGGAUGGCUGAUCCUCAAUCUCGGAAAAUUGGAUCGGUGGCCUGGCUCAUGACUUCAAAGUCGUCAAGGCCGCUUCUGUAGGUGUGAGCCAGGUAGUAGCCUGGCCUCUAUAAUGGUCGACACACGACCGAGCCCUGUCUCUCAGCUCGGUGUACUGCUGACUGUUUCGUGGAAAAUGUCCACGAAUGGAUAAUCUGGGGUGGCGUAGAGAACAAAACUGGUCAUGUUGUGAACAUUGCUGAGAUGAGGUGUAGGGGCUAGACAAUGGUGUUGUCUUG
Molecule: unclassified non-coding RNA, 1183 nt
Filed under: Yarrowia lipolytica
Lineage: Eukaryota; Fungi; Ascomycota; Dipodascomycetes; Dipodascales
Source: RNAcentral